Molecule: long non-coding RNA, 2872 nt
Organism: Drosophila miranda
Lineage: Eukaryota; Metazoa; Arthropoda; Insecta; Diptera; Drosophilidae
Exons: 3
Source: RefSeq, a predicted model, not a curated record
GAGCAAUUACAACAUAUGUAUAUCUGAGAAACGAUUCCUAUUUACCGAGAUCAACCGAUGGAAGCUGCUAUAGGAUCUAUCCAAACCAGAAAUUCAACAAUGCUGCGGUGGGCGGUGCACUACAGAGCGGAGAAAUGGCAAUGGCACUGGCAUUGCCACUAGCAGUGGCGCUGGGUGGUUGAAGUAAAAUGUGGCUCACUUAUUGGGCCAAUCUCAUUUAAUGCUCGCCACUUUUGCGGCCAACAAAGCAGAAAUACUCGUAGUGGGGAGUGGCACGAGAGCAGAAAGUAAAAAGUAAUAAGGGUAGCGGUAUGGGUAAGGGUAGAGGUAGAGUAAGGGAGAGUAGAAAUACUCGAAAAUUUAACCAAAAUAUUUCUGUUUGCAUAUUUGCACUCCAUUCCCAGAUAAUUGUUUUCGCUAGGUCGACAAUAGAAAUAAAUUCUGGCAACAAUUGCCACAACCAGCAGCCCUGGGGAGCGCUGCCUGUGCUUGUGUGUGAGUGGGCCACUUGUAAUUGCAACUAUAAUUUGUAAAAAUUAUCGCCAAUGUUAUGAAUGCAUUUCAUUUUGCCAGACCGGCGCGCCCGCCGAUGCUCAAUUUUAAUGGAACACACGGCGUAUGCGUGAUAUCAAUAUGAACACAUUCUGCAUUCAGGACGACCCUUGAAGCGGCGAUAAAUGCAAUGUUUCCAUAAUUUAUGAAUCGCAACGGACAGAUGGGGCAAAUAUUUGCUAGCACUUUUCGUGCAUUACAUGACUAAAGCGGAAUAAAGCAAAAGGGGACUGGACUCCGAACAGAUGUCGCAAAAACUUUAAACUCCAACUGGAAUCUAAUCCUGCAGCCAGCUGCACUCCAACUCACCCGCCAAUCGAGAAAAUCCUGCACAAAAUGUUCACAAGCCAUUCAAGCACUUUGACAAAACAACUCGAGCUGACCUCGCACCCCGCACCCCGACACGCUUCAAUAGUCUUGGUUCCAGCACCCAAUCCUUGUCGCAUUCCUGGUCGUGGCCCAUUCAGUGAGUGUUUGGAUGGCAGGAAAUUUUUGUUUGACUCUCAAGUGGUUAUUGUUGUCAGGCCCGUCAUAAUGCAGAGACGGGCGACACGGCGGUAUAGCGAUGAUACGAGAUAUGCGAUACGUGGCAUGAUAAAUGAUGGCGCUCUCUAAAUAAGGCUUAGUGCCAGACUCGUAUGUAUGACUAUGAACUAUGAACUAUGAACUUAUGGCAUAUUUGCUCGCCUUCAGCAGCAAUCAACGCACUUAGCGUUGAGUGGGCUUACUCUGGUCGGAUGGAUGAUUUCAAUGCGAGUCUGAGAGCCACUUGUUGUCGUCUCCAAAUGAAGCGGCGCCGUUGACACAACAGGAGCCCAACCACUUGCAGCAUCAGUGAUAGCAGGUCGUCCCACAUGUGCAGGACUUGUGCGAGCAUGAACUUCCUUCCACUUCCGGCAACUGGUGGCGAGAAGCUUACUCCCGACAACAUACUGAUGAAAUCAGUCUGAAACCUUGAACCUUAUUCAGUUUCUACGAAUACAGCCGAAGCUAUAUGUAUCAAAUUUAUCCACUACAGAAAGAAGAGAGAAAGAAAGAGAAAACAUGUACAUAUAGACAUACAUAUGUGUAUGCAUCAUCGGUGACACCAGAUAUAGUACACCCUGUAUAAGGGCAGUUCGUGCCAAAAAACCUUAAACGUCAUUUCCAUAUACUUUUGUCCCGAUAUUGAAAGCUUAGUUUAAGUAGUUUUAGUUUUCAUUACCGUUGAUUACCUAUUCAAAUGAGAGCGUUAUUUUUGUAUCUCCUAUAAGAAUGAUUAUAAAAGCUUUUCCUCAAAGUUGUUCUAACGUAUUGAACUAUCUAAAAGCAUUCCACGAAAAUAGUCCGAUUCUUGGCUAAUUAUUAGCCCGGAAUUUGGUAGCGUAAAGUACUUUAAAUCCCUGAUCGUCUUAAAUUACAAAAAACAGGAAAGAUUUUUAUAAUUAUUAACUUGGAAAACUAACACUGAAUAUUUCAUAUAUACAUACAUAUGCGAAAUAAAUGUUCUACAAAUAAUCAUACUCGAUAUGCAGUCUUGCAAUUUUGUACCCCAACCUGAAAACCACUUCUGUUUUUUGUAACGUGACGUCUGGUCAUAUUUCGGAAUUAGAUUUGAAAUUAAUAUUGGCGCCAAUGGAAUAAAAUGACAAGAUAUGGCAGCUCUUUUUUACCUACACUUGUGUGUGCAAACCAGUAGGAUAAGAUAAUUUGGUUGUUUUGGUUUUAUAAGAGAGAGAAAAGUUUUAUCGUAUGGUAUCUACAGGCGCACAAGAAAGUUUUAAAAAAGGGAUAUCGGUGAAAGAGUAAAAUAUUUUUCAAAAUGUUGCGCAACUUUUCGAAAAUGAACCAAAUGUUGCUAAGCGCUUGUUGCUACAAAUUUGCUACAUGGUGGCACUUGCCAUACUGUAUAUAUGUAGAUGUGCCAGUUCAUACACCAAGCAUGUCGCAAACUCAAUUGUUUAUUCCUUUUGGGAGCAUAUUUCAUGAUAUAUUUCCCCGGAUAGGCGGCCCGAGGCUUUAACCUCCACUUUUACGUGUCCUGCGCCGCUCUAGGGACUUUUACCACUUUGAGUAAGUUGGCGCGCGCGCCCUCUGUUUGAACCAGUCGUCCUCCGGGGGCCUUACCCGUUUGGGGGUUGCCGGAUCGAUACUGCAUCCACGAGCGCGUGCAUCGCCCCAGCAGGUGGUACUUUUUAUGACGUAUUGAGCGUGCUUCGCAUGUUCAUACAUUGCCGACAUCGUCUUCCCUCCUGCAUCAUGCUUUACCUCAUCGGCUUUGAUCGGUUGGUCGAGACCCUCUCUGACCACAAACUGCUACGCCGCGAUCGCGCCCCUCUUA